Non-coding RNA from Strongylocentrotus purpuratus (purple sea urchin), 73 nucleotides. The record is from Rfam. Lineage: Eukaryota; Metazoa; Echinodermata; Echinoidea; Camarodonta; Strongylocentrotidae.
GGUGUGUUGGCUCAGUCAGUAGAGCGUCCGACUUACAACCGGGAGGUCGUGGGUUCGAACCCCAGCCGCGUCA